This is a long non-coding RNA of Dicentrarchus labrax (European seabass), 734 nucleotides long. RefSeq lists it as uncharacterized. Lineage: Eukaryota; Metazoa; Chordata; Actinopteri; Moronidae. The transcript has 3 exons. The record is from RefSeq and is a predicted model, not a curated record.
UAAUGUUUCUAAUUUCAUAAUCCAGGUCCUCUCGGCUCGGGUUCUCUGUGUGGCAUUCCAGCUAGGGUCCAUCUGGAUGAUCGUGGCCCGGACAGACGACCAUCCAUGGGCCAGAAAAUGGCUGACCAGAGGGUGACCGCUGGCCUGGAAUAGGUGGUCACAAAGGGGAGAACCUCUGCCGUGUCUAAUGGCCUUGUCUCCAGGAAGGUGCUGAGGGCCUUACGCCGGAAGGAGCGUGAAUAUCCCCUGGUGGCCAGAGCCCUGAAGAGCGUCUUUGUGGCCGCCAUAAAAUCACUCUUAUGAGUGCAUAUUCUGUGGAACCGAAGUAAUUGGGAUUUCAGUAUGCCCCUAUAUGUGUGUUUUGGGUGGUGACUGUUUUUAAAGAGCAGAGCAUGGGUGUCUGUUUCCUUGAAGAAGACUUUAAUAUCUAAUUUGUUAGUCUGUUUGAAGUUUGUUCCUUUAUAGGUGGUGGUGUCCAAGAAGUCGACUGACGUGGUGCUGGUGGUGGACUUCAGUGUGAUGGACGGGUUGUGGUUAUUCAGGGUUGCCAGGGCGGAGGUCUCCCAUUCAGCCAUGAAAAUGUUGGCAUACGCCGGUGCAAAUUUCUUGCCCAUAGCCGUGCCUUUUAUUUGCAAAUAAAAUUUGUUGUCAAAUUCAAAAUCAUUCCUCCUCAGGUUAAUGGCAAGGAGUUGUAAUAAUUCCUUAUCUGGUCUUUUUUUAUCUGGAAAUUUUGU